This 491-nucleotide long non-coding RNA is filed under the name Malus domestica (apple). RNAcentral describes it as "long non-coding RNA (MDOM_LNC000563)". Lineage: Eukaryota; Viridiplantae; Streptophyta; Magnoliopsida; Rosales; Rosaceae. The record is from RNAcentral.
UUUCCCAACUUCAAGAGCCGGAUCUCCUUGGAUAAAGCUUGUUUGUAAUCUUCACACGCAACAUCAGCUUUCCAGAUACCACAGACCACUUUUUCAAAGUGCUCUGACAGAGUUAAAACAUGUGAAGCUGGCAGCUCCCACUACCGUGCUAUGACCAAGCAGGGUAAAGGAAUAGCAUUACUACUUGUUGUUAGGGAGACUCCUAUAUAUGUCAACCUCCAUCCCCAACGGACAGGCAGACUUGCAAAAAUGCUCAACCCUUCCUCAUAUCUGAGAGGGCACUCCCAACGAAGCCUUUCGAAAUAUUCAGCUUUCUUUCCCCCCGAUAAUACCUCUGCAAACAAGCUAUACUAGAGCAAGAAUAUCUCAUAUCAUCAGGGUUAAAAGCAAGAGUAUCCCAUAUCAUGCUUUUUCCCUGUCUUUUCCUUUGGCCUUGUUCUUACCUGCAAGACAAGGAGAAAGAGAGCAAUCAGUCAGCACUUAGAAUCAAG